Molecule: ribosomal RNA, 292 nt
Filed under: uncultured bacterium
Lineage: Bacteria
Description: partial 16S ribosomal RNA
Rfam family: Bacterial small subunit ribosomal RNA
Source: RNAcentral
GUGCCAGCAGCCGCGGUAAGACGAACCGAGCGAACGUUGUUCGGAAUCACUGGGCUUAAAGGGCGCGUAGGCGGGCAUUCAAGUCUGUGGUGAAAUCCGGCAGCUCAACUGUCGAAUUGCCCUGGAAACUGGAUGUCUCGAGGGAGGUAGGGGUGCGCGGAACUGAUGGUGGAGCGGUGAAAUGCGUUGAUAUCAUCAGGAACUCCGGUGGCGAAGGCGGCGCACUGGACCUCUUCUGACGCUGAGGCGCGAAAGCCAGGGGAGCAAACGGGAUUAGAAACCCCGGUAGUCC